RNAcentral lists this long non-coding RNA (2525 nucleotides) under Homo sapiens (human). RNAcentral's name for it is "non-protein coding KCNMA1-AS1:1". The record is from RNAcentral. Lineage: Eukaryota; Metazoa; Chordata; Mammalia; Primates; Hominidae.
ACUACUUUGUUGUUCUUCACAAUUAGUUGGAGCUUUCUUUGGUCAACAGCAGAUGUGACUAAGAAAAUCACGCUGUUUCACUUAGAGCAGUGGUCACCAAGUGUGGUCCUUAGGCCACACAGGUCAGCAUCACCUAGGAACUAGGAAAUGCAAGUUCUUAAGCAAUCCCACCCAGACCUACUGAAUUGGAAGUGCUGAGGAUGGGGUCCAGCAAUCUGUGGUUGAACAAGCUCUGCAGGCAUCCAGGAGCAGAGCUGUGGGGCAGCAGAAUCUGUGAUGACAGAGAAUGAUGAUGUAUUUUUGCCAGCAGAUGCUUUUGCUCCUGUUUUGAUACCCCAAUAUUCGGAUGCAGAAAAGGACUCUGAGCAUUGCUGACGGGUGUGCUCUGCACACCUAUCUCUUCAGGAUCUGAAUAAUUUGGUGGAAAGACAAUGCCUUUUCUGGAAAAGGGUGUCAGGUCAGUCAUAUUGGAGGAUGCAAAUUUCCUUAUGUGAUGGGAGUGAGGGUUGGGGUAGGGCACUUCACGGAGCAUUCAGCAGUCUGCAAUUAAGCAUCACUCCAAGGCUUUCUGCAUAGGUGAUGGCUGUUUCUGCAUCAUGGGGCAAACCAGGUGCUAGAACUUCAAAUGCCAAUUACCAAAGGCGCUUCCUGCGGAGGAAACCUCUCUACAACUCACCUGACCCAGAAGGCACACAUUUUUUUCUGGGUUAACAUAAAUGCUAAAAUUGAAGAAAUGAAACAUUCUAAAGGCAGGAUCAUGUAGGUGAGAUCCUUUGCCUCCUAAGCUUUUGUCCUGCCAGUCUUUUCUGUGCCUUACCAUGAUACCUGUGCUAGAAGUCUUCUGGGAAGCUCUUGUAUAGAACCUCCAACUCUGGCAGGGUUAGUCUUCAGGGAUGCUUCAGGCAGAGACCUUCUCAAUAUCUAUCCUUGCGUCACAUGGGCAUUGAGUAUAAGACAGCUGAGUUAGGGUCCUGUUCAGAGCCUGGGAUCAGGGAACCCGCAUAGUCUAAGGAAUACAGGAGUCCCUCUUCCCACUGCCAAGGACAAGUUUGCAAACCUGACUAGCGAAGCCCUUCUUCUGAUUAAGGCAACGUGGCCCCCUGGUUAUGAGUACAGAUUUCCAAAUCCAAUUAGUGUGGCUUUUAAUACCUGCUUUGCUAUCCAAUAGGCACAACAAUGAAAAAGUUGCCUAACUUUUCUCUGCCUUGAAUUCCUCAUCCAUAUAACAGAGAUGAAAAAACAAAACAAAACAAAAAUUUAUAGAUUAGAGUUAAAUGAGAGGAUUUGUGAAACUUCUGAUAGACAAAGCAUACUCAAAAAAUGGGAGUUUAUAAAAAGAACCAUCAACUAGCAAUGCAACCAAUUUAGACAAUUCCCUCUCCGGGUGUCUCGGCGUUCUGAUUCUAAUCUCUGAGAGCUGGCUCAGAACACAAGGGUGGCCCGCUUGGCCUCUAAAGUUUGAUGAUUCUCAGGUCCUGUAAAAGGACACUGAGGAAACCAUGAAAUGCCAGGGGAGGGACCAAGGCACUGUAACAGGGAAACCUGAGCCCACAGCGCCAUCUAGCCCGCUUGGCCCACGCCCCGCUGUGCCUGCAAGUGUAACCCGCCCAAGCAUCCUCCUCUUUUUAUUUUUUUAAAGUAUAAUUACCGGAGCUUAUGUUUCACAGUUAAUGCUGUCAAGCCUUUUAAACUAAUUGGUCUUUUAUAGAAAAUUUAACUGAAAAUUAACACAUCUUUUAAUAACAUUGCCUUAACUUUAAUGGCUCUCUGCCUUUCGUUUAUAAUUGCUCUAAAAUUGUCAUUUUCCAUGUCAUAGCUGCCAUUUUUUAUAUUUGCUAGUUUUCAUGGUGUAGAUUUUUAUUUUUAGUAUUUUUCUUUCGUGAGGGAUGAAAAUGAUUGGAUUUUUUUUUCCCUACCCCAGGCCUGCCUGGCCUGAUGUGACAGCAGUGGUCUGUCCUGAGUCUAGCAGGACAUACCUCCAUGUACCCGACUGACACCACUGCUAGCUCCUCUGCCUCGGGACGGCCAUGUGCCCUCUGUCUCCGUGUGAGCAGUUGAAAUGGAGGCUCUUGAGUGGAGUGUAAGAAAUAGGGUUAUGGAGCAAUAAAUUGUUUAUGUAACUAAAAUCACAUGGCAUUAGGUUAGCUUGGACUGAUAGAGAACUCAGGCCUCUCCAUAACACCAGGUUCAAGGGUUUGGCCCUUAAUGAAAGUACAGGAAAGACAGUAAAUCAUGUGAACCCACAUUCCAGACGGUCACACCCUCCAGUCUUACUGAUAUAACUUCGUUUCUGGCAAACAGGCCAGCUCUCUGAUAUUAAAGAUGAGAACAUGGAAUCAUAUCUUCUGGGUACCCCAACUCAUCUACCCACUAAGCUCCCAAAUAUUAUCUAAGAUGUGUGUUCAUGAAAGAGAGAAAGAGAGAGGAUAAGUGCACACAAACACAUAAAUAUAUAUACAUAUAUGUACAUGCAUAUAUACCAAAAAAAUCUGCUUCUUUGUAAUUACAUGUGAUCUUAAGAAAUA